CCAUUAGAAGAUGGAACAGGACUAUGUCCAUAGUGCACUAGCGGAACUCCCUGUUGCAGUUGUUCUAUAUCUUGUUAGAUAUGAGAACAAUGUGAAGCAAUUCAAUUUUUGCAGUGUUUCAGGAUAAUCUUGAUAUUGAAUUCUAUUAUGUUUGUUGCUAAACUUUGUUACUUCCUACAUAUUGAUAUGAGUUGUAAAAUACAUAUUAC
Molecule: unclassified non-coding RNA, 209 nt
Filed under: Hevea brasiliensis (rubber tree)
Lineage: Eukaryota; Viridiplantae; Streptophyta; Magnoliopsida; Malpighiales; Euphorbiaceae
Source: RNAcentral